UUGAGUUUGAUCCUGGCUCAGAUUGAACGCUGGCGGCAGGCCUAACACAUGCAAGUCGAGCGGUAGCACAGAGAGCUUGCUCUCGGGUGACGAGCGGCGGACGGGUGAGUAAUGUCUGGGAAACUGCCUGAUGGAGGGGGAUAACUACUGGAAACGGUAGCUAAUACCGCAUAACGUCGCAAGACCAAAGUGGGGGACCUUCGGGCCUCAUGCCAUCAGAUGUGCCCAGAUGGGAUUAGCUAGUAGGUGGGGUAACGGCUCACCUAGGCGACGAUCCCUAGCUGGUCUGAGAGGAUGACCAGCCACACUGGAACUGAGACACGGUCCAGACUCCUACGGGAGGCAGCAGUGGGGAAUAUUGCACAAUGGGCGCAAGCCUGAUGCAGCCAUGCCGCGUGUGUGAAGAAGGCCUUCGGGUUGUAAAGCACUUUCAGCGGGGAGGAAGGCGUUAAGGUUAAUAACCUGGCGAUGA
Molecule: ribosomal RNA, 472 nt
Filed under: uncultured bacterium
Lineage: Bacteria
Description: bacterial SSU rRNA
Rfam family: Bacterial small subunit ribosomal RNA
Source: RNAcentral